CGGGGGGGGCAAGCGUUGUUCGGAAUUACUGGGCGUAAAGGGUUAGUAGGUGGCCGGCUAAGUCAGACGUGAAAUCCCUCAGCUUAACUGGGGAACUGCGUCUGAGACUGAUCGGCUUGAGGACAGGAGAGGAACGCGGAAUUCCAGGUGUAGCGGUGAAAUGCGUAGAUAUCUGGAGGAACACCGGUGGCGAAGGCGGCGUUCUGGACUGUUUCUGACACUGAAUAACGAAAGCCAGGGGAGCAAACGGGAUUAGAUACCCCGGUAGUCUGGCCCUAAACGAUGAAUGCUUGGUGUGGCGGGUAUCGAUCCCUGCCGUGCCGCAGUUAACGCGUUAAGCAUUCCGCCUGGGGAGUACGGUCGCAAGGCUG
Molecule: ribosomal RNA, 371 nt
Filed under: uncultured organism
Description: bacterial SSU rRNA
Rfam family: Bacterial small subunit ribosomal RNA
Source: RNAcentral